Molecule: long non-coding RNA, 1077 nt
Organism: Brienomyrus brachyistius
Lineage: Eukaryota; Metazoa; Chordata; Actinopteri; Osteoglossiformes; Mormyridae
Exons: 3
Source: RefSeq, a predicted model, not a curated record
GUCCCCCAUUAUUCAGCAGACCUGUGUUUACGCUCUGGAUGAACCUUCUAGCGUGAGGCCAGAAACUCCAUUCGGAUCACAUAUGCAGCCUUACGGGCACACGAGGGGCAUAACCUAAGAAAUGUGUGGGGUCAGUUGGUUUCCCAAGGGGGCACUACUGAGAAGCUGGCUCUCCAGGUCCCAGCCUGCACUACUGCUGCUCAUCGCUGGCCUAAAGCGACCACAGGUCACGCUCAUGCGGAGGAAGAGGAUGAAACGUACAAAAGGAGCGAAGGCCACGUAAGCGAGCUGUUAGUCGGAUGCACUAUUUCACCUAGGAACUGAACAAAAUGGGCAUGGAAUCGGAGGCUGGACUAAGGAAGAACAGUACCCUCAGUCUUCAGAACCUGGAACUACAACACAAAACCCACAAGGGAUUAUUAGGAAGACAAAAUACCAAGAGUCAGACUGACUGGUAAUUCACAAAAAGAAAUUAGUACAGCAUUUCUUAAAUACAUAUUUAUUAUGCCUGAUUAUAUUACACCAAGUGUGACAAAAUCAUUUGCAUUCUUUUGAAAUCCUCUGAUUAGGAAAAGAACAUCUCUGGUGUGGUUCUUUGUAAUUUGUUGCAUAUUGUGUAUUGUACAGAAAUGCCUUGUGAAACGCUGGCAUGAACCCGCACAGGAUAUUAGACUGCAUUUUGCAGGCAGUGAAAGAGAGGAGCAUGGAAUUUCAGAGUAUCUGGAUAAAAACCAGCCAAUCAGACAUUUCUACAGGGGCUGUACGAGAUUUUGUACUUCACUGAUUACUUUUGGUUUUAGCGUAAUGAUUUUGCUACCCCAGCUGAAGUACUCCAAAAUGUAGAUUUUUAUUUAUAUUUUAUUUCUUAUUACAAUAAUUAAAAAACACUAAUACAUAUGCACACAGGAUGGUUCAGAAAUAAGAUUGAAGUCUUUGGUCAGUUAAGAACAUUAGGCGUAAUAAACAGAAAACUGGCUACUUUCAAAUGUUAACAGGACAUUAGAGCAAAACCUGCUAGUUGCUGUUUAAUCUUUCGUCCCAAUGGUGCUUCGAACUCCGUGGCCCUGACAUGAGAAA